AGAGUUUGAUCCUGGCUCAGAAUGAACGCUGGCGGCGUGCCUAACACAUGCAAGUCGGAUGUGCCGCAAGGUGCAUGGCAGACGGGUGAGUAACGCGUAGGGAAUCUACCUUUUUGUGGGGAAUAACGCUCCGAAAGGAGUGGUAAUACUGCAUGAGACCGUGGCCUGGGAUGGUUACGGUGAAACCUGGGGACCGCAAGGCCUGGGGCAAAGAGAGGAUCCUGCGUCUGAUUAGCUAGUUGGCGGGGUAAUGGCCCACCAAGGCGACGAUCAGUAGCCGGCCUGAGAGGGUGAUCGGCCACACUGGAACUGAGACACGGUCCAGACUCCUACGGGAGGCAGCAGUGGGGAAUUUUGCGCAAUGGACGCAAGUCUGACCCAGCAACGCCGCGUGAAGGAUGAAUGUCGUAAGAUUGUAAACUUCUGUGAGAAGGGACGAAAAAACAGGCUCAUACCCUGUUCUGACGGUACCUUCAGAGGAAGCCCCGGCUAACUACGUGCCAGCAGCCGCGGUAAUACGUAGGGGGCUAGCGUUGUCCGGAUUUACUGGGUGUAAAGGGCGCGUAGGUGGACUUGUCAGUCAGAGGUGAAACCCUGCAGCUUAACUGCAGAACUGCCUUUGAUACUGCAAGCCUUGAGUCUAAAAGAGAAAAGCGGAAUUCCAGGUGUAGUGGUGAAAUACGUAGAUAUCUGGAAGAACACCAGUUGCGAAGGCGGCUUUUUGGUCUAGAACUGACACUGAGGCGCGAAAGCGUGGGUAGCAAACAGGAUUAGAUACCCUGGUAGUCC
This 789-nucleotide ribosomal RNA is filed under the name uncultured bacterium. Its description in RNAcentral is "bacterial SSU rRNA". It matches the Rfam family "Bacterial small subunit ribosomal RNA", at positions 8 to 796 of the family's 1533-position model. The record is from RNAcentral.